GGGAUCAAAAGGAAAAUGGCACUACAGGCUCUCAGUCGUACAAAUGUUUCUGUAGCCAGCCCCCACGUCUUCAAUAAGCUGGUCUCCGGUCAGGUGUUUCUCCUGAUGCAGAACUUGAAGUCACAGGAUACUGCCCCAGUUAGUUAGAAGUGGAGAGUGGGUGAAAAAACCUUGCAGGUCUUGCCCCACUUGCACAGGCAAGCAAGAAGACUGUGACUAGUAGAGUGCACAGCCUACGGUCAGCCACCACAUCCUAGAAGCAAGAGCCCUUUGGGGACAGUCUCCAACAGCUGGCGCCAGCAAAACUCAGAUUGACAGAACUGGACUCCUCUGAGCUGAUAAACAGAGCAGGCAUUGAAGGAGUGUUUGACAAGAAGGAACUCUGCCAGUCCACUCCUAGUAAGGCAGUGGUAACAGAGCAUUGGGG
Strigops habroptila (Kakapo) is the source of this 427-nucleotide long non-coding RNA. RefSeq lists it as uncharacterized. Lineage: Eukaryota; Metazoa; Chordata; Aves; Psittaciformes; Psittacidae. The transcript has 3 exons. The record is from RefSeq and is a predicted model, not a curated record.